Molecule: transfer RNA, 85 nt
Filed under: Candidatus Methanoplasma termitum
Lineage: Archaea; Methanobacteriati; Thermoplasmatota; Thermoplasmata; Methanomassiliicoccales; Methanomassiliicoccaceae
Description: tRNA-Ser
Rfam family: tRNA
About the family: Transfer RNA (tRNA) molecules are approximately 80 nucleotides in length.
Source: RNAcentral
GUGGAGGUAGCCCAGCCUGGUAAGGCGAUAGCCUGCUAAGCUAUUGUCCCUAGUGACUCGCGAGUUCGAAUCUCGCCCUCCACGC